RNAcentral lists this unclassified non-coding RNA (142 nucleotides) under Helicodendron conglomeratum. RNAcentral describes it as "partial internal transcribed spacer 2". Lineage: Eukaryota; Fungi; Ascomycota; Leotiomycetes; Helotiales; Helotiaceae. The record is from RNAcentral.
UGACCAAUCCCGUUCGCGGGGUCUUGGGCACCGCCGCCUGGCGGGUCUCAAAAUCAGUGGCGGUACGGCCGGGCUCUGAGCGUAGUAAAUCUUCUCGCUACAGGGUCCCGGGCGGCACCGGCCAGCAACCCCAAUCUUUACA